GCGGAGGAAAAGAAAAUAACAAUGAUUUCCCUAGUAACGGCGAGUGAAGAGGAAAGAGCUCAAAGUUGGAACCUGUUUGGCUUAGCUAAACCGGAUUGUAAACUGUAGAAGUGUUUUCCAGACACGCCUGGUAAAAAAGUCCUUUGGAACAGGGCAUCAUAGAGGGUGAGAAUCCCGUCUUUGGCCAGAGCUGUUGUCUUUUGUGAUACAUUUUCAAAGAGUCAGGUUGUUUGGGAAUGCAGCCUAAAUUGGGUGGUAAAUCUCACCUAAAGCUAAAUAUUUGCGAGAGACCGAUAGCGAACAAGUACCGUGAGGGAAAGAUGAAAAGAACUUUGAAAAGAGAGUUAAACAGUAUGUGAAAUUGUUAAAAGGGAACCGUUUGGAGCCAGACUGGCUUGACUGUAAUCAAUCUAGGCUUCGGCCUGGAUGCACUUGCGGUUUAUGCCUGCCAACGACAAUUUUUUUUGAGGGAAAAAACUAUUAGGAAUGUGGCCCCCUUUCGGGGGGGUGUUAUAGCCUUUUAGAAAAUACCUUGAAUUGGAUUGAGGAACGCAGUGAAUGCCUUUAGGCAAGAUUGCUGGGCGCUUUCGCUAAUAAAUGCUAGAAUUUCUGCUUCGGGUGGUGCUAGUGUUUAAAGGAGAAACUCGUCUGGUAUAUUUUUUAUUCGCUUAGGUUGUUGGCUUAAUGACUCUAAUGAC
This 698-nucleotide ribosomal RNA is filed under the name Thamnidium elegans. RNAcentral describes it as "partial 28S ribosomal RNA". It matches the Rfam family "Eukaryotic large subunit ribosomal RNA", at positions 50 to 648 of the family's 3401-position model. Lineage: Eukaryota; Fungi; Mucoromycota; Mucoromycetes; Mucorales; Mucoraceae. The record is from RNAcentral.